AGUCAUAUGCUUGUCUCAAAGAUUAAGCCAUGCAUGUGUAAGUACAAGCCGAUUUAAGGCGAAACCGCGAAUGGCUCAUUAAAUCAGCUAUGUUUCAUUGGAUCUGUAAACCCACUUACUUGGAUAACUGUGGCAAUUCUAGAGCUAAUACAUGCAAUUGGUCUCUGACCGCAAGGGAAGAGCGCUUUUAUUAGUUCAAAACUGGUCGGGCCCCGGUCCGUAACCCACCUGUGGUGAAUCUGAAUAACUUCGGGCUGAGCGCACGGUCUCCGCACCGGCGCCGCUUCUUUCAAGUGUCUGCCUUAUCAGCUUUCGAUUGUAGGUUAUGCGCCUACAAUGGCUAUAACGGGUAACGGGGAAUCAGGGUUCGAUUCCGGAGAGGGAGCCUGAGAAACGGCUACCACAUCUAAGGAAGGCAGCAGGCACGCAAAUUACCCACUCCCGGCACGGGGAGGUAGUGACGAAAAAUAACGAUGUGAGUCUCAUCCGAGGCCUCGCAAUCGGAAUGAGUACACUUUAAAUCCUUUAACGAGUAUCCAUUGGAGGGCAAGUCUGGUGCCAGCAGCCGCGGUAAUUCCAGCUCCAAUAGCGUAUAUUAAAGUUGUUGCGGUUAAAAAGCUCGUAGUUGGAUCUCAGUUCCGGACUGACGGUGCACCGCCCGGUGUUUACUGUCACGCUCCGAACAGCCGCCCCGCCGGCUCGCACGGGAUGCUCUUUGUCGAGUGUCCCGAGUGGCCGGAGAGUUUACUUUG
Molecule: ribosomal RNA, 752 nt
Filed under: Homarus americanus (American lobster)
Lineage: Eukaryota; Metazoa; Arthropoda; Malacostraca; Decapoda; Nephropidae
Description: SSU rRNA
Rfam family: Eukaryotic small subunit ribosomal RNA
Source: RNAcentral